Molecule: ribosomal RNA, 933 nt
Filed under: uncultured Bacillota bacterium
Lineage: Bacteria; Bacillati; Bacillota
Description: bacterial SSU rRNA
Rfam family: Bacterial small subunit ribosomal RNA
Source: RNAcentral
UGGAUCCAGACUUUGAUUCUGGCUCAGGAUAAACGCUGGCGGCGCACAUAAGACAUGCAAGUCGAACGGAAGUCGUUAUAUCAGAGUCUGAUUGAAAGGUUUAUCUGAAUUGAAGACGACUUUAUAACAAUGGCUUUAGUGCCGGACUGGUGAGUAACGCGUAAGCAAUCUGCCUAUUAGAGGGGAAUAACAGUGAGAAAUCAUUGCUAAUACCGCAUAUGCCAUGAAUAUCGCAUGAUAAAAAUGGGAAAGGAGUAAUCCGCUAAUAGAUGAGCUUGCGUCUGAUUAACUAGUUGGUGGGGUAAUGGCCUACCAAGGUAACGAUCAGUAGCCGGACUGAGAGGUUGAACGGCCACAUUGGGACUGAGAUACGGCCCAGACUCCUACGGGAGGCAGCAGUCGGGAAUAUUGCGCAAUGGAGGAAACUCUGACGCAGUGACGCCGCGUAUAGGAUGAAGGUUUUCGGAUUGUAAACUAUUGUCGUUAGGGAAGAUAAAAGACAGUACCUAAGGAGGAAGCUCCGGCUAACUACGUGCCAGCAGCCGCGGUAAUACGUAGGGAGCAAGCGUUAUCCGGAUUUAUUGGGUGUAAAGGGUGCGUAGACGGGAAAUUAAGUUAGUUGUGAAAUCCCUCGGCUUAACUGAGGAACUGCGACUAAAACUGGUUUUCUUGAGUGCAGGAGGGGAAAGAGGAAUUCCUAGUGUAGCGGUGAAAUGCGUAGAUAUUAGGAGGAACACCAGUGGCGAAGGCGUCUUUCUGGACUGUAACUGACGUUGAGGCACGAAAGUGUGGGGAGCAAACAGGAUUAGAUACCCUGGUAGUCCACACCGUAAACGAUGGAUACUAGGUGUAGGAUGUGUUAAACAUUCUGUGCCGUCGCUAACGCAGUAAGUAUCCCACCUGGGGAGUACGGCCGCAAGGUUGCAACUCAAA